GUGUACCUGUGUACCAGGUGGAUGCCUGUUGCCUUAAGAGACCAGAAGAGGGAGCUGAGUCCCCUGGAACUGGAGUUACAGAUGGGUAUGCAGGAGGUUGUGUUUGGGCGUCCAAUGAAGAGAAAGGAGCAGAGGAAGCAGAAGAGGAUGGAGAUGAGCAGGGUGUAGCUGAGAGUCCUGUUAUUGGCCUUAACAAUGGCAGAUUCUUGGUGUUUGAGAAAGAUUCCCAAAACUGCAAUUGUGUUGACAGAUAAGCACAUAGCUAUGCAUGCCAGCGCGAUGCCCAGAGGAUCCUCAAAGGAAAGAAAUGUCACUGCCUUGGGCAGACAAUAGUUUCUCUCUGGGUUUGGGUACUCUUGACUUGGGCAAGGGAUGCACUCCUGCUGAUCUGUAUGGAGAAAUUGGAUCAACAUUUCACCUUAUAUAAAUAUCUAUUUGUUGCACAUUUAAUUCAUUAAAGUGCUUUCCAGUGA
Long non-coding RNA from Meriones unguiculatus (Mongolian gerbil), 473 nucleotides. RefSeq lists it as uncharacterized. NCBI's taxonomy places the organism in Eukaryota, Metazoa, Chordata, Mammalia, Rodentia, Muridae. The record is from RefSeq and is a predicted model, not a curated record. The transcript is spliced from 2 exons.